CCAUCCCAUAUUACUUAUUUAUCGCUUUGAUUUUUUAUUUAUAAUAUCUGAUCAUUCGUCUUAUUAAAAAAUUUAGAAUUAUUAUUUAUUUUGUUUGUGACUUGUUUGGUUAUCAAAUGUACUUCAAGUAUAACUUAUCUUUUUUAUAUUUACACUAAUUUUUCAAAUAAAACGAAUGGUCAAACAUUUUAAGCAAAAAGUCAAAGCGACAAGUAAUAUGGGACGUGAAU
Molecule: unclassified non-coding RNA, 230 nt
Filed under: Oryza sativa (Asian cultivated rice)
Lineage: Eukaryota; Viridiplantae; Streptophyta; Magnoliopsida; Poales; Poaceae
Description: partial microRNA MIR431b-7 precursor
Source: RNAcentral